Leucoraja erinaceus (little skate) is the source of this 2508-nucleotide long non-coding RNA. RefSeq lists it as uncharacterized. The transcript has 3 exons. The record is from RefSeq and is a predicted model, not a curated record. NCBI's taxonomy places the organism in Eukaryota, Metazoa, Chordata, Chondrichthyes, Rajiformes, Rajidae.
CGCCCGCCAACCGUCAACCGCCAACCGCCAACCGCCGCAUUUCAAACACCGUUUGAUUUGGUUUCUCGAGUAGACUUGAUGUUGGCGCUCGGGGAAACAGAGACGCGACGCGAGGAGGCGAGACGAGGCGACUGGGCCUGAGAGUCCGUGAGACAGGAGAUGCCGCCUGACCCGCUGAGUUCCUCCAGCACUCUGUGCUUUGCUCAAGAUUCCAGCGCCUGCAGUUCCUUGCGUCUCUCCAAUAAUCUUUCUCCUUCCUGUGACAGAGGUUAAUAACACAUCCACGUUGGAGUGAAGGAGCGGCCCGUCCCAGCCAGGUCUCCAUUAUCCCCGUCAGGUAUGUUAGUUGGAGAGAGGAAGGAACAGAAUGGAACAUAUGGAGACCAUGAAUACUGUCCUCUCCUGGGUAAGUAAUCUUUCUUAAAUUAACCGACCAAAACUCCAACUAAGUUCUAAGAAAUAAAAGAAACAUAGAUGCAGGAGUAUUCCAUUCAGCCCUUUGAUCAUCUAAAAUCAGUACCCCAUUCCUGCUUUUUCCUCAUAUCCCCUGAUUCCAUUAGACCUAAGAGCUAAAUCUAACUCUCUUGAACACAUCCAGUGAAUUGGCCUCCACCGCCUUCUGCGGCAGAGAAUUCCACAGAUUCACAAAACAAAAUUGUGAGGGAGAUCAGGAAUGUCCAACAUUUUGAAGUCAACAACUCAACCAUUCGACCCAAUAAAUCUACCGCACAAUGAAUAGUCAGCACCUGGUUAGGACAUGCGUGUGUCACUGGGAGUGUAAUCGAGGGCUCUAGGGAGUGUACAAUGCCUGAAUCGUUUGAUAAACCACAGAUAAUCAUCAUCUGGGCCUUGUGGUGGGAAAGAUUCUAUAUUUGCACACAUUGUUGUUUCCGUUGCAUUGGUCUGACCACAACAAGAACAAACAGCUUCAAUAACAAACUUGACUCAAGCCUAAUCCCAGCCGCCACAAUUCCCAUUGUUGCUGAAGUGAACAUAUUUUGAAAUGUUUAGCAUGACCACAGAUAAACACAACAGGCAUCCAGCUUUGAAGAAAGUUGUUCGUAAACCCGGGAAUAUCUCCAUGUCUGAGUUGCCACAGCGACCAACCAACAAAACACAAAAGUGGUUUUGCAUCUGACUUCAAUGUCUGUGUCUGGGGCAAUGGCACAGCCUCAAUACAUGUCUGUGUCUGGGGCACUGGCCUCAAUACAUGUCUGUGUCUGGGGCAAUGGCCUCAGCCUCAGUACAUGUCUGUGUCUGGGGCACUAGCACGGCCUCAGUACAUGUAUGUGUCUGGGGCACUGGCACUGGCUUCAGUACAUAUCUGUGUCUGGGGCACUAGCACGGCCUCAGUACAUGUCUGUGUCUGGGGCACUGGCACAGCUUCAGUACAUGUCUGUGUCUGGGGCACUGGCACUGACCUCAAUACAUGUCUGUGUCUGGGGCACUGGCACAGCCUCAAUACAUGUCUGUGUCUGGGGCACUGGCACUGGCCUCAAUACAUGUCUGUGUCUGGGGCACUGGCACUGGCCUCAAUACAUGUCUGUGUCUGGGGCACUGGCACUGGCCUCAGUACAUGUCUGUGUCUGGGGCACUAGCAUGGCACGGCAGUGUGCUGGAGUUGGAUGGUGUUUGCCUUCACCAAGUGGAGACAGGACAUCAACUGUCCAGCAGCAACCUUGUCCACUCACUGGACCCCACCACCAACUGGCCCAAUCCCACCGGCACAACAGAGGCCAGCCAGCUCCGUGCGUGUGUCCAUGAACAAUGGUGUAUCCCACCCUUGCCAAAUGGAGACAGGACGACACAAACAAGGCUGAGGCCACGUGGUCCGGUGGUUGAGGACGGGCCACGUGGAUGCCGGAGGUUGUACGUGCCAACGAGAACAAAGGGGGGCCAGGCAUGGGGGGGGGACAGCCAAGAUCUAAGGGGGACCCAACAUGGGGAUGACCACAAAUGGAAUGUAUUAAAAAUGGAUUGUGUUAAAAUGGAAUAAUUUGUUACUUUGCUGGUGCCCUUUAUGUAGUGACUGUUUGUAUACCCUGGAUACGCAGAGUACAGCAUUUCACUGGGACUUGUCACUUGUGACAAUAACGUGAUCACUGGUUCAUUCAUUUACUCGCUCAUUCAUUCACUCACUCAUUCUUUCACAUUCACUCAUCAUUCACUCAUUCACUCACUCAUUCAUUCGUGCACUCAUUCAUUCACUCAUUCAUACAUACAAUCAUUCACUCAUUCAUUCACUCACUCAUUCACUCAUCAUUCAUACAUUUAUUCACUCAUCAUUCACUGAUCAUUCACUCAUUCAUCAUACAUUCACUCAUUCAUUCACUCAUACAUGCAUUCACUCAUUCAUUCAUACAUUCAUUCACUCAUUAUUCACUCAUUCAUUCACUCACCAUUCACUCAUUCAUUCAUACAUUUAUUCACUCAAUCAUUCACACAUUCAUGAUUCACUCAUUCAUUCACUCAUUAUUCACUCAUUCAUUCACUCAUCAUUCAUUCAUU